GGAAGACAGGAGCCAUAGACAUUUCUCAGGCAUCCUUAGGCAGGAGAUCUGCCAAUCAGCCUGCAGCCAGGGGUGAGGUUGGCCAUUACUAUGAAAUCAGAAACACGAGAAAGAAUGCUUCUUUGGUUGUAGGACUAAGGACAGCAAAUGUAUCCCUCCAGAGAUAUCGAUCAAACUAUUUCUUAGACCCAAACAGUGACUCUUGAUUGUCCUAGAUGAUGUUCUCCAACUACAUUGGACAGCAACU
Python bivittatus (Burmese python) is the source of this 247-nucleotide long non-coding RNA. RefSeq lists it as uncharacterized. NCBI's taxonomy places the organism in Eukaryota, Metazoa, Chordata, Lepidosauria, Squamata, Pythonidae. The record is from RefSeq and is a predicted model, not a curated record.